UGCCGUAAACGAGGAGGAAGGUAGGGGGAGUGACGUCAAGUCAGCGAUGGCCCUUACGCCUUGGGCUACACACACGCUACAAUGGGUGAUACAACAGGUUGCGAAAGAGCGAUCUGGAGCUAAUCCCUAAAAUCAUCCUCAGUUCGGAUUGCAGGCUGAAACUGCCUGCAUGAAGUUGGAGUUGCUAGUAACCGCAGGUCAGCACACUGCGGUGAAUACGUUCUCGGGCCUU
Molecule: ribosomal RNA, 232 nt
Filed under: uncultured Chloroflexota bacterium
Lineage: Bacteria; Bacillati; Chloroflexota
Description: uncultured Chloroflexi bacterium partial 16S ribosomal RNA
Rfam family: Bacterial small subunit ribosomal RNA
Source: RNAcentral